This 1815-nucleotide long non-coding RNA is filed under the name Sus scrofa (pig). Its description in RNAcentral is "lncRNA (ENSSSCG00005009750.1)". Lineage: Eukaryota; Metazoa; Chordata; Mammalia; Artiodactyla; Suidae. The record is from RNAcentral.
AUAGCACUUAAACUAUUGAGAAUGGAGGAUCCCAGGACAACAUUUAAAAUGACAGCUAAUGUCUGUGGAAACCCUGGGCGUUUAGGAGUGGCCUAAAGCUAGAGUUCUCUUUGAUUACGGGCACCACUUUCAGAUAAAAACAUAGACCUGAAUGGCAUCAUCCAGUAUCCAAGGAAACCAUUUCUUACAGUACCCUGGAACAUAAUUCACCAUGGCCAGGAUGAAUCUGCUGUACACAGGAGUGAUCCUUCUAACCUGCCAUGUCCAUAGUUAUGUGAGAAUCUAGGAUGGAGCUGAAAGAACUGUAUCUUCCUGGAUCAUACCCAAAAGGUCUCUAAGUGCACUGAUGACAGGAAAAUCUUCAGUGGUUCCAGAGACAAGCUGCUGGAAAUCCUGCACAUUUAUUUUCUAGAAGGAAAUGAGCUGAUGAGGAAUAAUCCCUUCAGAGAUCCUCCCUUUAAAAAACCUUAAAGGACUCCAAAUUAAAGCAUAGCCAUUUCUGGGACCCUAAAGUGACUCAAAAAAAGGAAACAUCACUUACUUAAUGUUAGGUGAAUUUCAAAAGCCUUAAUAAGGGGAGAGCAAAGGUAGGGAGAAAGAUGGUGAAUAAAUUGUGAGAACCUACCAAGUAAAGAAAUAUCUUUUAAAUUCCACGCAUCAUGUUUUAUUUCACUUUGUAUUUCAAUUAAAAAAGGAAAAAUAUGCAUUUUAAAAAGAUAUAUUUUUUGCUAUUAAUAUUAGCACUUAAUGUCUGAGUACAGAUCCAUCAUUCAUUAGGUCUACAGUAGCCCAUAGCCCUAAUUUACAAAUUCAUAAUCACAAGUCAGAUCAACUCAAUUGCUCAAGGCUGUGUAUUUGCAAGUUAGAGUAUACACUGCAAAUUUCCUGUCUUUGGGCCGGUAUACUGAGCAAUGGUACUUUUUAAAAAGAAUUUGCUCAUAUCUUAGAUUUAACAGAGUUGAAAAUGUUUAACCAAUAUCACUCAUGUAAUAUAAAGUGUAAAUUUAAGCAGUGUUCUAGAAAAUUCAAGGCAAAGUAGUUUAAACCAUUUGGCUCUUCCUAGAGGUUCUGAUUUUUUUUUUUUAACCUGAAAAAGUAGGUAAUUACUCGAUAGCCUUAGCUCUAAAAUAUAUCUGACAGGUUAUUUUUAUUUGUUUGGUUUUCAGAAAUCAUAUCCAUGUUUUCUACUCUCUGUAGUCUUAGCAAAAUGAAUCAAAGCCACUCUGUAUCCAAAGGUAACACUAUGGUUGUCUUUUUUUUUUUUUUUUUUUUUAACAUUGCAGGCUUUACCUCAAGUGCUAUGCAGUAAAUUUACAGGGAAAGAAAUAUUUUAUUAAAUUAUAACUGAGAGGAGCGGAUUUUUUUUUAUAUAGCAAACAAAAAAUUCCUUCAUGAAAGGUUAUAAAACCGAUAUUAUUUACCAGAGAGACCUUUCCUGUCUCCCAGGUAAACACUUACAGUGUGUAGACUUGUGUAAAUACAUAUUUAGGAGUGGCUAAAUAUGGCGAGGUAUUUUUAAAGCCAUAUUUACAAAGCUGAAUACAUAUAUUGGCAUUUUGGAAUGUGUAAGCUGGGCAUGCUGCUCUGCUGUCUAUUCAGAAUUCUAGCAGGACGCUGCUAGAUACACCUCAGAUAUGGGGACCGAAUUUCAAAACAUUCAUCUUUAAUCAGAAUUACUAAAGACAGGUCCUUAAAUCAUUUCAAAAGGGUGAAAAUUUUCAAUUAAUGGAGUUCAAGACUUUCUCACCAGUUUGACUUGAGGAAAAUUGUUUCAGAAAUGCAGGCGUCAUUCAUGGAAAUAAAAUUUCUUUUCUG